UACGGGGGGAGCAAGCGUUGUUCGGAUUUACUGGGCGUAAAGGGCGCGUAGGCGGUCGUGACAAGUCACUUGUGAAAUCUCCGGGCUUAACUCGGAACGGUCAAGUGAUACUGUCGGACUAGAGUACAGAAGGGGCAACUGGAAUUCUCGGUGUAGCGGUGAAAUGCGUAGAUAUCGCUUGGAACGCCGAAGAUGAAAACAGGCUGCUGGGGUUGCGCCGACGCUGAGACACGAAGCCAGGGGAGCAAACGGGG
RNAcentral lists this ribosomal RNA (254 nucleotides) under uncultured bacterium. RNAcentral's name for it is "partial 16S ribosomal RNA". It matches the Rfam family "Bacterial small subunit ribosomal RNA", at positions 524 to 777 of the family's 1533-position model. The record is from RNAcentral.